Molecule: long non-coding RNA, 643 nt
Organism: Gasterosteus aculeatus aculeatus (three-spined stickleback)
Lineage: Eukaryota; Metazoa; Chordata; Actinopteri; Perciformes; Gasterosteidae
Source: Ensembl
AAAAAAAAAAAGAAUCCAGGUAAGAAAAGUAAAUAUAGACAUCGUGAGAUUAUCAGCGGAACGCGUUGUAGUUGCUGUGCCGACUGGACUACUUACGGAAGCGCACACGAUCACCAGCGACCAGGUGGUCGUCAUCCUGCGUCGCCUGCUGGAGUCCCGCAGAAACGGAUCUGGCGCAAAGAAGGCAGCGCUAUGAGGAGCAGGAGGAGGAGAAGAGCCGCACAGCAGGAGUGCUCAUCGUAUUCCCACUUUUAUCAAUGCGUCCGCACCAUCACUGGACUGGACUCAGAAGAAGCCGUCGGUGCAGCCCGCAGGACCCCCACACAGAAGAAGAACAAGAAGAAGAAGAAGAGAGAAGAGGAGGAGGAGGAGGAGGAGGAGGAGACAGUCCUGCCCGGAGUGCUGCUAGGAUGCAAGUGCACUGCGGAGGAGGAGAGAAGAGACGUCUGCCCUCCAGUUUAUUACCCCUAUACUCCUGCAAACGAAUUAGAAACCCCUUUCCAUGUGAUUACCUCCAAAACAAGACGACUGCAGGAUACCUCAAAGACUGCAGGGGUAACAGGUGUGUCUACUCCUCUAUUGAUCCGGUUUGGUGAAUCAAACUAAAUUCUCCCAACUCUCCCAUAACUUUUGGUCUCUGGUG